This 296-nucleotide ribosomal RNA is filed under the name uncultured bacterium. RNAcentral describes it as "partial 16S ribosomal RNA". It matches the Rfam family "Bacterial small subunit ribosomal RNA", at positions 334 to 622 of the family's 1533-position model. The record is from RNAcentral.
UAAACCUACGGGGGGCAGCAGUAGGGAAUCUUCCACAAUGGACGAAAGUCUGAUGGAGCAACGCCGCGUGAGUGAAGAAGGGUUUCGGCUCGUAAAGCUCUGUUGGUAGUGAAGAAAGAUAGAGGUAGUAACUGGCCUUUAUUUGACGGUAAUUACUUAGAAAGUCACGGCUAACUACGUGCCAGCAGCCGCGGUAAUACGUAGGUGGCAAGCGUUGUCCGGAUUUAUUGGGCGUAAAGCGAGUGCAGGCGGGUCAAUAAGUCUUAUGUGAAAACCUUCGGCUCAACCCGAGGAUU